RNAcentral lists this ribosomal RNA (481 nucleotides) under uncultured bacterium. RNAcentral's name for it is "SSU rRNA". It matches the Rfam family "Bacterial small subunit ribosomal RNA", at positions 26 to 523 of the family's 1533-position model. The record is from RNAcentral.
AGGACGAACGCUGGCGGCGUGCUUAACACAUGCAAGUCGAGCGGUAAGGCCCUUUCGGGGGUACACGAGCGGCGAACGGGUGAGUAACACGUGGGUGACCUGCCCUUAGCUCUGGGAUAAGCCUGGGAAACUGGGUCUAAUACCGGAUAUGACCUCGCGAUGCAUGUCGUGGGGUGGAAAGCCUUGUGCGGCUAGGGAUGGGCCCGCGGCCUAUCAGCUUGUUGGUGGGGUGAUGGCCUACCAAGGCGACGACGGGUAGCCGGCCUGAGAGGGCGACCGGCCACACUGGGACUGAGACACGGCCCAGACUCCUACGGGAGGCAGCAGUGGGGAAUCUUGCGCAAUGGGCGAAAGCCUGACGCAGCGACGCCGCGUGAGGGAUGACGGCCUUCGGGUUGUAACCUCUUUCAGCCCUGACGAAGCGAAAGUGACGGUAGGGCAGAAGAAGCACCGGCCAACUACGCGCCAGCAGCCGCGGUAA